This 2473-nucleotide ribosomal RNA is filed under the name Staphylococcus aureus T44444. RNAcentral's name for it is "bacterial LSU rRNA". It matches the Rfam family "Bacterial large subunit ribosomal RNA", at positions 445 to 2925 of the family's 2925-position model. Lineage: Bacteria; Bacillati; Bacillota; Bacilli; Caryophanales; Staphylococcaceae. The record is from RNAcentral.
UGGGAGGACCAUCUCCUAAGGCUAAAUACUCUCUAGUGACCGAUAGCGAACCAGUACCGUGAGGGAAAGGUGAAAAGCACCCCGGAAGGGGAGUGAAAUAGAACCUGAAACCGUGUGCUUACAAGUAGUCAGAGCCCGUUAAUGGGUGAUGGCGUGCCUUUUGUAGAAUGAACCGGCGAGUUACGAUUUGAUGCAAGGUUAAGCAGUAAAUGUGGAGCCGUAGCGAAAGCGAGUCUGAAUAGGGCGUUUAGUAUUUGGUCGUAGACCCGAAACCAGGUGAUCUACCCUUGGUCAGGUUGAAGUUCAGGUAACACUGAAUGGAGGACCGAACCGACUUACGUUGAAAAGUGAGCGGAUGAACUGAGGGUAGCGGAGAAAUUCCAAUCGAACCUGGAGAUAGCUGGUUCUCUCCGAAAUAGCUUUAGGGCUAGCCUCAAGUGAUGAUUAUUGGAGGUAGAGCACUGUUUGGACGAGGGGCCCCUCUCGGGUUACCGAAUUCAGACAAACUCCGAAUGCCAAUUAAUUUAACUUGGGAGUCAGAACAUGGGUGAUAAGGUCCGUGUUCGAAAGGGAAACAGCCCAGACCACCAGCUAAGGUCCCAAAAUAUAUGUUAAGUGGAAAAGGAUGUGGCGUUGCCCAGACAACUAGGAUGUUGGCUUAGAAGCAGCCAUCAUUUAAAGAGUGCGUAAUAGCUCACUAGUCGAGUGACACUGCGCCGAAAAUGUACCGGGGCUAAACAUAUUACCGAAGCUGUGGAUUGUCCUUUGGACAAUGGUAGGAGAGCGUUCUAAGGGCGUUGAAGCAUGAUCGUAAGGACAUGUGGAGCGCUUAGAAGUGAGAAUGCCGGUGUGAGUAGCGAAAGACGGGUGAGAAUCCCGUCCACCGAUUGACUAAGGUUUCCAGAGGAAGGCUCGUCCGCUCUGGGUUAGUCGGGUCCUAAGCUGAGGCCGACAGGCGUAGGCGAUGGAUAACAGGUUGAUAUUCCUGUACCACCUAUAAUCGUUUUAAUCGAUGGGGGGACGCAGUAGGAUAGGCGAAGCGUGCGAUUGGAUUGCACGUCUAAGCAGUAAGGCUGAGUAUUAGGCAAAUCCGGUACUCAUUAAGGCUGAGCUGUGAUGGGGAGAAGACAUUGUGUCUUCGAGUCGUUGAUUUCACACUGCCGAGAAAAGCCUCUAGAUAGAAAAUAGGUGCCCGUACCGCAAACCGACACAGGUAGUCAAGAUGAGAAUUCUAAGGUGAGCGAGCGAACUCUCGUUAAGGAACUCGGCAAAAUGACCCCGUAACUUCGGGAGAAGGGGUGCUCUUUAGGGUUAACGCCCAGAAGAGCCGCAGUGAAUAGGCCCAAGCGACUGUUUAUCAAAAACACAGGUCUCUGCUAAACCGUAAGGUGAUGUAUAGGGGCUGACGCCUGCCCGGUGCUGGAAGGUUAAGAAGAGUGGUUAGCUUCUGCGAAGCUACGAAUCGAAGCCCCAGUAAACGGCGGCCGUAACUAUAACGGUCCUAAGGUAGCGAAAUUCCUUGUCGGGUAAGUUCCGACCCGCACGAAAGGCGUAACGAUUUGGGCACUGUCUCAACGAGAGACUCGGUGAAAUCAUAGUACCUGUGAAGAUGCAGGUUACCCGCGACAGGACGGAAAGACCCCGUGGAGCUUUACUGUAGCCUGAUAUUGAAAUUCGGCACAGCUUGUACAGGAUAGGUAGGAGCCUUUGAAACGUGAGCGCUAGCUUACGUGGAGGCGCUGGUGGGAUACUACCCUAGCUGUGUUGGCUUUCUAACCCGCACCACUUAUCGUGGUGGGAGACAGUGUCAGGCGGGCAGUUUGACUGGGGCGGUCGCCUCCUAAAAGGUAACGGAGGCGCUCAAAGGUUCCCUCAGAAUGGUUGGAAAUCAUUCAUAGAGUGUAAAGGCAUAAGGGAGCUUGACUGCGAGACCUACAAGUCGAGCAGGGUCGAAAGACGGACUUAGUGAUCCGGUGGUUCCGCAUGGAAGGGCCAUCGCUCAACGGAUAAAAGCUACCCCGGGGAUAACAGGCUUAUCUCCCCCAAGAGUUCACAUCGACGGGGAGGUUUGGCACCUCGAUGUCGGCUCAUCGCAUCCUGGGGCUGUAGUCGGUCCCAAGGGUUGGGCUGUUCGCCCAUUAAAGCGGUACGCGAGCUGGGUUCAGAACGUCGUGAGACAGUUCGGUCCCUAUCCGUCGUGGGCGUAGGAAAUUUGAGAGGAGCUGUCCUUAGUACGAGAGGACCGGGAUGGACAUACCUCUGGUGUACCAGUUGUCGUGCCAACGGCAUAGCUGGGUAGCUAUGUGUGGACGGGAUAAGUGCUGAAAGCAUCUAAGCAUGAAGCCCCCCUCAAGAUGAGAUUUCCCAACUUCGGUUAUAAGAUCCCUCAAAGAUGAUGAGGUUAAUAGGUUCGAGGUGGAAGCAUGGUGACAUGUGGAGCUGACGAAUACUAAUCGAUCGAAGACUUAAUCAA